Unclassified non-coding RNA from Cyclopterus lumpus (lumpfish), 299 nucleotides. It matches the Rfam family "Metazoan signal recognition particle RNA". From Rfam's summary of the family: The signal recognition particle (SRP) is a universally conserved ribonucleoprotein. It is involved in the co-translational targeting of proteins to membranes. The eukaryotic SRP consists of a 300-nucleotide 7S RNA and six proteins: SRPs 72, 68, 54, 19, 14, and 9. The record is from Ensembl. NCBI's taxonomy places the organism in Eukaryota, Metazoa, Chordata, Actinopteri, Perciformes, Cyclopteridae.
GCCGGGUGCGGUGGCGCGCGCCUGUAAUCCAAGUUGCUGGGAGGCUGAGUCUGGCGGAGCGUUUGAGCUCAGGAGUUCUGAGCUGCAGUGCACUAUGCCGAUCGGGUGUCCGCACUAAGUUCGGUAUCGAUAUGGUGCUCCUAGGGGAGCCCGGGACCACCAGGUCGUCUAAGGAGGGGUGCACCGGUCCAGGUCGGAAACGGAGCAGGUCAAAGCCCCCGUGCCGCUCAGUAGUGGGAUCGCGCCUGUGAAUAGACGCUGGAGUGCAGCCUGAGUAAUACAGCGGGACCCAGAUUCUU